This 244-nucleotide unclassified non-coding RNA is filed under the name Glomeraceae sp. RNAcentral's name for it is "partial contains 5.8S ribosomal RNA and internal transcribed spacer 2". The stretch from base 1 to 65 matches the Rfam family "5.8S ribosomal RNA", at positions 84 to 154 of the family's 154-position model. Lineage: Eukaryota; Fungi; Glomeromycota; Glomeromycetes; Glomerales; Glomeraceae. The record is from RNAcentral.
GUGAAUCAUCGAAUUUUUGAACGCACAUUGCACUCUCCUCGGAGAGUAUGCCUGUUUGAGGGUCAGUUUAUAAAAAUCGACAUCUUUGCUGUUUAGCGGUGUUGUUCGUCGAAAUUUGGCUCAUCUUAAAUCCUUUUGUUUUCAGCGACUUAAAGUUUCCUUUUGGUUCAAUGACCGUUUCUUAUAUCUAUUUCUUUAUACGUUUAAGGUAUCGAUUUUUACUAUACGUGACCAUCAUAUCGGA